GACCGAAGAAUAUAACCUCAGAAGAAGCAUGGGAGAAGUUUGUAGAAGAUUCUCUUUCCACUGAUUUUCAAGAAAAAAGUUCUAAGUUCAGCAAAAUGAGAAGUAGUCAGAAGCUUCUCCAUACUAUGGGUCGGAAGGGUUAUUCACGUAUGGCUCACGAUUUGAAAAGAAAGAAUCCAAAUAUAACA
Molecule: long non-coding RNA, 188 nt
Organism: Olea europaea var. sylvestris
Lineage: Eukaryota; Viridiplantae; Streptophyta; Magnoliopsida; Lamiales; Oleaceae
Exons: 3
Source: RefSeq, a predicted model, not a curated record